Molecule: ribosomal RNA, 253 nt
Filed under: uncultured bacterium
Lineage: Bacteria
Description: partial 16S ribosomal RNA
Rfam family: Bacterial small subunit ribosomal RNA
Source: RNAcentral
UACGAAGGGGGCUAGCGUUGUUCGGAUUUACUGGGCGUAAAGCGCACGUAGGCGGAUCGUUAAGUCGGGGGUGAAAUCCUGGAGCUCAACUCCAGAACUGCCUUCGAUACUGGCGAUCUUGAGUCCGGAAGAGGUGAGUGGAACUCCUAGUGUAGAGGUGGAAUUCGUAGAUAUUAGGAAGAACACCAGUGGCGAAGGCGGCUCACUGGUCCGGUACUGACGCUGAGGUGCGAAAGCGUGGGGAGCGAACGGG